GACGUAGGUGGCGAACGUUAUCCGGAAUCAUUGGGCGUAAAGGGCGCGUAGGUGGCUUGGCAAGUUGGGUGUGAAAGCCCAGGGCUCAACCCUGGAAUUGCACUCAAGACUGCUUUGCUUGAAUUCGGUAGAGGUUGGUGGAAUUCCCAGUGUAGAGGUGAAAUUCGUAGAGAUUGGGAAGAACACCCGUGGCGAAGGCGGCCAACUGGACCGACAUUGACACUGAGGCGCGAAAGCGUGGGGAUCAAACAGG
RNAcentral lists this ribosomal RNA (253 nucleotides) under uncultured bacterium. RNAcentral describes it as "partial 16S ribosomal RNA". It matches the Rfam family "Bacterial small subunit ribosomal RNA", at positions 524 to 776 of the family's 1533-position model. The record is from RNAcentral.